AGAGUUUGAUCCUGGCUCAGAUUGAACGCUGGCGGCAGGCCUAACACAUGCAAGUCGAGCGGUAGAGAGAAGCUUGCUUCUCUUGAGAGCGGCGGACGGGUGAGUAAUGCCUAGGAAUCUGCCUGGUAGUGGGGGAUAACGUUCGGAAACGGACGCUAAUACCGCAUACGUCCUACGGGAGAAAGCAGGGGACCUUCGGGCCUUGCGCUAUCAGAUGAGCCUAGGUCGGAUUAGCUAGUUGGUGAGGUAAUGGCUCACCAAGGCGACGAUCCGUAACUGGUCUGAGAGGAUGAUCAGUCACACUGGAACUGAGACACGGUCCAGACUCCUACGGGAGGCAGCAGUGGGGAAUAUUGGACAAUGGGCGAAAGCCUGAUCCAGCCAUGCCGCGUGUGUGAAGAAGGUCUUCGGAUUGUAAAGCACUUUAAGUUGGGAGGAAGGGCAGUAAAUUAAUACUUUGCUGUUUUGACGUUACCGACAGAAUAAGCACCGGCUAACUCUGUGCCAGCAGCCGCGGUAAUACAGAGGGUGCAAGCGUUAAUCGGAAUUACUGGGCGUAAAGCGCGCGUAGGUGGUUUGUUAAGUUGGAUGUGAAAUCCCCGGGCUCAACCUGGGAACUGCAUUCAAAACUGACUGACUAGAGUAUGGUAGAGGGUGGUGGAAUUUCCUGUGUAGCGGUGAAAUGCGUAGAUAUAGGAAGGAACACCAGUGGCGAAGGCGACCACCUGGACUAAUACUGACACUGAGGUGCGAAAGCGCGGGGAGCAAACAGGAUUAGAUACCCUGGUAGUCCACGCCGUAAACGAUGUCAACUAGCCGUUGGAAGCCUUGAGCUUUUAGUGGCGCAGCUAACGCAUUAAGUUGACCGCCUGGGGAGUACGGCCGCAAGGUUAAAACUCAAAUGAAUUGACGGGGGCCCGCACAAGCGGUGGAGCAUGUGGUUUAAUUCGAAGCAACGCGAAGAACCUUACCAGGCCUUGACAUCCAAUGAACUUUCUAGAGAUAGAUUGGUGCCUUCGGGAACAUUGAGACAGGUGCUGCAUGGCUGUCGUCAGCUCGUGUCGUGAGAUGUUGGGUUAAGUCCCGUAACGAGCGCAACCCUUGUCCUUAGUUACCAGCACGUAAUGGUGGGCACUCUAAGGAGACUGCCGGUGACAAACCGGAGGAAGGUGGGGAUGACGUCAAGUCAUCAUGGCCCUUACGGCCUGGGCUACACACGUGCUACAAUGGUCGGUACAGAGGGUUGCCAAGCCGCGAGGUGGAGCUAAUCCCACAAAACCGAUCGUAGUCCGGAUCGCAGUCUGCAACCCGACUGCGUGAAGUCGGAAUCGCUAGUAAUCGCGAAUCAGAAUGUCGCGGUGAAUACGUUCCCGGGCCUGUACUCACGGCCCGUC
This 1394-nucleotide ribosomal RNA is filed under the name uncultured bacterium. Its description in RNAcentral is "bacterial SSU rRNA". It matches the Rfam family "Bacterial small subunit ribosomal RNA". The record is from RNAcentral.